Molecule: ribosomal RNA, 495 nt
Filed under: Enterobacter hormaechei
Lineage: Bacteria; Pseudomonadati; Pseudomonadota; Gammaproteobacteria; Enterobacterales; Enterobacteriaceae
Description: bacterial SSU rRNA
Rfam family: Bacterial small subunit ribosomal RNA
Source: RNAcentral
GGGUCAGUGGCGCAGGCUACACAUGCAGUCGAACGGUAACAGGAAGCAGCUUGCUGCUUCGCUGACGAGUGGCGGACGGGUGAGUAAUGUCUGGGAAACUGCCUGAUGGAGGGGGAUAACUACUGGAAACGGUAGCUAAUACCGCAUAACGUCGCAAGACCAAAGAGGGGGACCUUCGGGCCUCUUGCCAUCGGAUGUGCCCAGAUGGGAUUAGCUAGUAGGUGGGGUAACGGCUCACCUAGGCGACGAUCCCUAGCUGGUCUGAGAGGAUGACCAGCCACACUGGAACUGAGACACGGUCCAGACUCCUACGGGAGGCAGCAGUGGGGAAUAUUGCACAAUGGGCGCAAGCCUGAUGCAGCCAUGCCGCGUGUAUGAAGAAGGCCUUCGGGUUGUAAAGUACUUUCAGCGGGGAGGAAGGCGAUAAGGUUAAUAACCUUGUCGAUUGACGUUACCCGCAGAAGAAGCACCGGCUAACUCUGUGCAGCAGCCGCA